Molecule: ribosomal RNA, 303 nt
Filed under: uncultured bacterium
Lineage: Bacteria
Description: partial 16S ribosomal RNA
Rfam family: Bacterial small subunit ribosomal RNA
Source: RNAcentral
AGAGUAGCCGCGGGAAUACGUAGGGUGCAAGCGUUAAUCGGAAUUACUGGGCGUAAAGCGUGCGCAGGCGGUUCGGAAAGAAAGGUGUGAAAUCCCAGGGCUUAACCUUGGAACUGCACUUUUAACUACCGGGCUAGAGUGUGUCAGAGGGAGGUGGAAUUCCGCGUGUAGCAGUGAAAUGCGUAGAGAUGCGGAGGAACACCGAUGGCGAAGGCAGCCUCCUGGGACAACACUGACGCUCAUGCACGAAAGCGUGGGGAGCAAACAGGAUUAGAUACCCCUGUAGUCCCUGUCUCUUAUACA